GACGGACGCUGGCGGCGUGCUUAACACGUGCAAGUCGAACGGAAAGGCCCCAGCUUGCUGGGGUACUCGAGUGGCGAACGGGUGAGUAACACGUGGGUGAUCUGCCCUGCACUCUGGGAUAAGCCUGGGAAACUGGGUCUAAUACCGGAUAGGACCGUGCUUUAGUGUGUGCGGUGGAAAGUUUUUCGGUGCAGGAUGAGCCCGCGGCCUAUCAGCUUGUUGGUGGGGUAAUGGCCUACCAAGGCGGCGACGGGUAGCCGGCCUGAGAGGGUGUACGGCCACAUUGGGACUGAGACACGGCCCAGACUCCUACGGGAGGCAGCAGUGGGGAAUAUUGCACAAUGGGCGCAAGCCUGAUGCAGCGACGCCGCGUGGGGGAUGACGGCCUUCGGGUUGUAAACCCCUUUCGGCAGGGACGAAGCUUUUGUGACGGUACCUGCAUAAGAAGCACCGGCUAACUACGUG
RNAcentral lists this ribosomal RNA (465 nucleotides) under uncultured bacterium. RNAcentral describes it as "partial 16S ribosomal RNA". It matches the Rfam family "Bacterial small subunit ribosomal RNA", at positions 28 to 507 of the family's 1533-position model. The record is from RNAcentral.